GUGUCAUGAUGUGGGCAUUUUCUUAGUAAUUCCUUGUACCUAUCCCAAGCAUCAAGAACUGCUUCAUCAUUCAUUUGUCUAAAGAGACAAAUUUCAUUUUUGAACUU
Small nucleolar RNA from Cynara cardunculus var. scolymus (artichoke), 107 nucleotides. The record is from RefSeq and is a predicted model, not a curated record. NCBI's taxonomy places the organism in Eukaryota, Viridiplantae, Streptophyta, Magnoliopsida, Asterales, Asteraceae.